RNAcentral lists this unclassified non-coding RNA (200 nucleotides) under soil metagenome. Its description in RNAcentral is "partial contains internal transcribed spacer 2 and large subunit ribosomal RNA". The record is from RNAcentral.
GGCCUCAAAUUGAAAACAAACCGUUUUGAUUCUUUUUGAUUCUCUACCGAGACUUUUGCGGCUUGAUAAGUCGGGAAACUAUUUUCCGGUUGACUAGUCACAACGCGUGUCGGCGUCGUCAAAAAGAGUGAGAAAGGUCGCAACAACCAUUACUUUUUUCAUUAAGCCUGAAAUCAGGUGGAAUUACCCGCUGAACUUAA